GCUCCCGUCACAACGUCAGAACCCAGCCUACUGGUGCUGAGGCUGACGGGGAGGAGGAUGAAGACGAUGGCGGUGAUACAGGAGCAAGGCUGAGUUCGCUCUUCCUCUUCUCUCUUCCCCCCCUUUUUUAUACCCCCAUCCAAUUUCCAGUUUGGACCACAUCAAAUAAAAGGGCACCCUUGCGACAUAUAAGCAGAGGCGGUUCGGACCGUUCGGACGCCGUAACGAUCUUCACCGCCCUCGUGUCUCCUGAGCCGAGACCGAGAUGGGGAACGAGGCGAGCAUGGAGGGCGGCGGGCAGCCCGGAGAGGCCGGGAUGAUGGGCUCCGUGAUGCCCGGAGGACCCGCGACCGCAGGGCCGGGAGGACAGCACGUGAAACCCGUCAACGGCUCGGCUGCCGGCGGAGGGAUGGGAGUCGGAGGCCCCGGGAUGGGGAUGACGAGGGGACCAAUGGCUCAGAUGGGUAGCCCCAAACCUGGCAUGCAACAAGGAGUUCCAGGGGGAGGAGGGAUGGGAGGUAUAGGAAGUGGGAUGGGUGGAGGAAUGGGAGGUGGAAUGGGUGGAGGAAUGGGAGGUGCAAUGGGAGGCGGAAUGGGAGGCGGGAUGGGAGGAGGGUUGGCCACUGGAGGUGGAAUAGGCUCUCGAAGCGGUGAGCCUUAUCGCCUGGCGACCCAUGACACUCCAACCUCCCCCCGUCACGUGCAGCCAGGCCAGGGGUCCAGCACGGGGCAGGGCUCCACCCACGGGAUGAGUCACAGCCCAGCUGGUACCGGCGGCAUAGGCGCCCAUGCAGGACAGAGUCCCGGCCAGCAUGCCUCCCGACGAAACCUGCAAGUCGACUUCAACAGUUCGGGCGGCUCCAGAACGGGCCGAUCCCCCUCGGUGUCGCCGGACCGCGGCAUGACACCCACCUCACCCUACUCUGUGCCACAGAUCGCGCCCAUGCCAAAGAGCAAACUGUGUCCAGUGUGCACCACCACAGAGCUCUCCAACCCACCAGCUGUGCCCAACUACAACACCUGCACGCAGUGUAAAGCCACUGUGUGUAACCAGUGCGGAUUCAACCCCAACCCACACCUCACUGAGGUCCAGGAAUGGCUGUGUCUCAACUGUCAGAUGCAGAGGGCUCUUGGCAUUGAUAUGACCACUCCUCGCUCGAAGAGUCAGCAACAGAUCCAUUCGCCGUCCCACCAAGCGAAACCUCUCGUCCAGCCUCAGCAGGCUGCACCUCAGCCAACACAGCCGACGACUGCAGCACAGCCCAAACCUGUGGCACAGAGCCAGCCCACCCAGCAACAGCAGCAGCAACAACCACAAACUCAACUCUAUGGACAGAAUCAGUCCUACUCUCAGUCACAGCCAUAUCCACAGUCCCAAGCAUACCCCCAGUCACAGACAUAUUCCCAGUCCCAGUCAUACCCGCCAUCUCAGCAGUAUCCUCAAUCCCAGCAUUAUCCCCAGGUCCAGGAGCAUCCCCAGUCCCAACAGUAUCCUCAGUCCCAACAGUAUCCCGAGUCCCAGCAGUACCCCCAUUCACAACAGUACCCCCAGCCCCAACAGUACCCCCAGUCCCAGCAGCAUCCACAGUCCCAGCAGUAUCCGCAGUCUCAGCAGUAUCCCCACUCUCAACAGUACCAUCACUCCCAACAGCAUCCGCAGUCUCAGCAAUAUCCCCAGGCUCAACAAUAUCCUCAGGCUCAGCAGCAACCUUACCAACAGUCCCAAUCCGGACCCCAGGCUCAGCAGCAGCCUUAUCAACAGUCCCAGUCGGGACCCCAGGCUCAGCAGCACCCUUACCAACAGUCCCAAUCUGGACCGCAGGCUCAGCAGCAGCCUUACCAACAGUCGCAAUCCGUGCCCCAAGCUCAGCAGCAGACUUACCCAGCAUCACAGUUCGGACCUCAGGGUCAGCAGCAGCAGCAGCAGCAGCAACAACAGCAGCAGCUGCCUUAUCCACAGUCACAGUCUGGACCCUUGGGCCAGCAAUAUCCACAGACUCAGCAGUAUCCGCAGGCUCAGCAGCAGCCUUAUCCACAGUCCCAGUCAGGGCCCCAGACACAGCCUCAGAAUUCACAAGGCCUACACAGUCACACUUCUUCCAGUGGCCCCCAAAGCCAGACGGGUCCCUCUCAUCAGGGUAUGAGAUCUGACUCAUAUUCCCAGAAAGGUCCAAGAGCUGGUGGAGGUUCUGCAGGAGGCCCCAACCAACCUGGUGGCCCAAGGAUCCCCCACCCUGGUGCUGUACCCCUCCCUGGCUUGACAAAAGCACCCUCUCAACCCGAUUUGGGUCGUGGCUCUCCCAUGCACCAGUCUAUGGCACGGCACCAUGACCACACCAGAAGCGCUGGCUCCUCUCCAGCUCACAAGCCCCAGACCCAAGCUCAUCCUCCAGCCCAGGAUGGACUGACCAAGUUAUUUGGUUUUGGAGCUUCCUUGCUCAACCAAGCGAGUACACUGAUCAAUGUGGACCCUUUGCCCACCUCUUCCACUCAUCCCAGUCCCGCACGAGGCAAGGUGGUGUUCAGUAAUGCGACCUCUGACAGCAAGCCGCCACAACAAGUGGUCUCAGGUGCUAAACAAUUUGGCAUGGGUGGCCCCCAUGUCCCGGGCCAAAUGGGUGGCCCCCAUGCACCAAACCAAAUGGGUGGCCCUCGUGCAUCGAACCGAACGGGCGGCCCCCAUGCACCGAGCCAAAUGGGUGGUCCGCAUGCACCGAGCCAAAUGGGGGGUCCGCAUGCACCGAGCCAGGUGUUAGGGCCGCACGCACCAAAGCAACAGCAGCAGACUGUACCCCAACAACAAGGAAUGCCGCAACAGCAGUCGCCCUCCCUUCAACAGAAAGAUCCACAGCAACCUCAAGGGCAGCAACACCGACAAAUGCCAUCACAUGUGCAGAAGGCGGAGCUAAAGCAGGAGCCUGCAAUUGCUCCCACCGCAGCUCCGGAGCCAGUGAAGCCCAAAGCGAACUGUCCUCUGUGUAAAACAGAGCUAAACAUCAACACAUCUGACCCACCCAACUACAACUCAUGCACGCAAUGCCACACUCAAGUGUGCAACCUGUGCGGCUUCAACCCGACACCACAUCUGGUUGAGAAAAAAGAGUGGCUGUGUCUCAACUGCCAAACCCAGCGGUUGAUGUCCGGGGGAGGUCUCGAUGAGCCUCCUCUCGCUGUUCCUCACCCGUCCCCAAAACAUCAGCUCACUGGGUCACCACGCCACCAGGCCCCAGCGGGUCAACAAAGUCCUCUCCACAAAGCCGCCAUUCAGCAAGAGUCCAAGCCAGCCCAACCCCAGACACCAAAACCACAGUCGGGAACUGGAGAUAGCGAACAGUUUGGGCCGAAUGCUGCCAAGCUGCCGACAGACACCAAGAACACCGUAGCAGUGACGUCAACUGGACCAACAGUCGAGACCCAGAAGAAGACGAAAACCACAGAUGAAAAGCUGAAGAUGGAGCCUGAAAGCCAAACUGCCAAAGAGAGCAAAACCACAUUCAAGAAAGGAGAUCCAAUCACACCAAUCAAGGAAAUUAAGAAGUCAAGGCAUUACGACGAAACAAAAAACAGCACGCAUGACUUGUCACGCAGCCCACAGAGCCUCAGUGAUACCGGUUACUCCUCUGACGGCAUCUCCAGCUCCCACAGCGAAAUCACAGGACUAAUUCAAGAGGAGGAGAUGAAACUCAGUGAGAGGGGCAUCAGCGGGCGGGGCUCUCCACCAAGCCCUUCAGAAAUUACCAAACUGGAAAGCUCUGUGAGGCCUUUGCUGGAGAAGAGCCUUUCCGAAGACAAAGCGGACAGAAGAGGAAGGAGGCUAAGUGAUAGAGACUUGGAUGACAGAGGGAAGCAGCGCCCGCGCUCUUUGUCAAUCCCACCGGAUGCAUACGACUCGGAUGAGGAACUUGAAGACAUAAUGGAGGAAGAAGAAGAUGGAGGAGACUGGGAGAGUAAACGGAAAGAAGGGAAGGAAGAGAAGAAGGAAAAGAAGAAGAAGGACAAGGACGGUGAGCCCACAGAGAUGACCGAUGAGGAGUUCAUGAGGAGACAGAUCAUGGAGAUGAGCGCUGAUGAAGGAAAUGAUGAGGAGGAAGAAAUGGAGGAAGAUGAAGAUGAGGAAGAUGAAGGCUACGGCUAUGAGCGAAAGAAAAGCCACCAUAAGCACAUCAUACCCGACACGGCAAAAGAGAAACGCCGCCUACAGCACCACUCUAGCAGUUUUGAGGAGGAAACAAAAAGCUCCACUGAUGUUUACAAAAGCUCAGUGGAGGAGGGUGAGGAAGAUCUGAUGGCGUCACAAGGUGGUCUGAGGCGCUUUAAAACAAUCGAACUCAAUAACACCAACAGCUACAGCAGAGACAUUGAGCUCAGUCACGAAAAUGACUUGAGCCUUGAUCGAGAACCCGAACUGGAGAUGGAAAGUCUGACCGGCUCUCCCGAAGAGCGCUCUCGGGGUGACUACUCUUCCACUCUUCCGCCAACUUCCGCAUCCUCUUACGGCUCAGGCCAGUCUCCUACGUCCAUCUCGUCAAUGGAAGAGGACAGUGACAGUAGUCCCAGCAGGCGACAAAGGUUGGAAGAGGCUAAGCAACAGAGAAAAGCGCGGCAUCGUUCUCAUGGCCCUCUCCUUCCUACAAUUGAAGACUCUUCAGAAGAAGAUGAAUUGAGAGAAGAAGAGGAACUCCUGAGAGAGCAGGAGAAGAUGAGAGAAGUUGAACAACAAAGAAUCAGAAGCACGGCGCGCAAGACUAAGCGCGAUAAAGAGGAGCUGAGGGCUCAACGACGUCGAGAAAGAUCCAAGACACCGCCCAGCAAUCUUUCACCCAUUGAAGAUGCUUCGCCGACUGAGGAAUUGAGACAAGCUGCCGAAAUGGAAGAACUCCAUCGUUCCUCUGCCUCUGAAUACUCCCCUCAGAGUCUGGAUUCGGAAGCCGAGGGCUAUGAGUCCAAACUUUACAAGUCAGGCAGUGAGUACAACCUUCCUACCUUUAUGUCCCUUUACUCACCAAUUGAAAAAUCAUCGAUCACGACCACAAUAGCGCCAUCGAGCACUUCCAAGCCAUUGAAGAGUGCUGAGGAGGUAUAUGAAGAGAUGAUGAGGAAGGCAGAGCUGCUUCAAAAGCAACAGAAACAGCAACAGCCCUCUCCAGUGAGACAUGGUCAGUACUACGAAGAAGACAUUAACGGACAAGGUUAUGAUGACGAGUAUGACUAUGAACAAGAUCAAACGGGAUAUGACAAUGACGCAGUUGAGAUGGAAGCUGACAUUUAUGAGGAGAUUCGACAAACAUCUCAGAACAUCACAAAGAUGCAGCAGGCCACUGAUGAGCAAGUAGAAAUUGAGAGCUCCUACCCAGACAAGCAAUUUCUCGACACAGGUUCCGCCUUUGCAAAACUACUGGAGCAAAGCAAUGCCCUUUUAACUCCAGGAACCAGCCCCACCCAGAUCUCCGCACCUGUCUCAUUUGCUGAAACGGGAGGACGCAUCCCUGAUGUCCGAGUCACUCAACACUUUGCUUCAAAGGACAGACACAAAGACAGAUUAAAAAACCAAGCGGGGAAAAAUGGAAUAACCCCAACAGUAGCUGCUACUACAAUAGCAGCUUAUGGAGUUUAUGCUAGAGAUGCUGUAACAAUUUCUCAGACAAGUACAAGCAACACUAUAACAUCCACCCAGUCUUCUAUUUAUAGCAGACACGCAAGUCCUGCCACAUCUUCAGCGACAGUCUCAAGUGUGUGCAGCAAGAUUGCAGAGAUUACCCAAGCCUAUAGUCAAAGAGAGAUCAUCACCAGAAGAGUAGGGGACACUCGAGGUGUAGCGCUUCGAGAUAGCCCAGCAGCUGUCAACGAGCGAAUCAAUGAGCCACGCUCUCCAAAGUAUACAACUUAUUACAGGAGCACCAGCCCUCCCCUUUCUCCAUCCCCACCACCGCAAAGUCCUACGCACUCCCCUUCCAGGAGAGCAACAGCUGAGUUCUCUACACAGACUUUCAAUUCAGCACUACAAAUGGACUCGGGAGGUUCUGGGCCUACUUCACCAGUGAUGGCUCAGGGAACCCAAACUUCACAUAGAUCGGUCUCCCCACGGCUCUACCGGCAGCAGUCAUCCCAGGAUGUGCCAUACUCUCCACCUGCAAGUCCAGCUCGUCCAAUGACUGUCAACACGGCGACAUCGCCUCUGUCUUCACCCACACGAUUUAGCCGUCAAUCGACAUUCGAUUCUUAUUCACCGUGUGGUAGCCCUCCAGAUACGCCUCCUUACCAACAUUCACCGACACGCAGCUUCUACAGAACACAAAGAAUCGAAAAGGUAAAUGUUGGAACAAGUAUGGUUACCACGGCCAGUAUUUACACACGAGGUUCCAUUUCUAUGGAUAAUAUCUCCCUGUGCCGCAUAUCUACAGUUCCAGGCACUUCUAGGGUUGAGCAGGGCCAUAUGAUACAAGGUGGAAGUGUUGUGGACCUCAGAACAGUCACCAAACCUACCCCAAUCAUCAUGACUGAUCAAGGAAUGGAUCUCACCUCUCUAGCCACUGAAAGCAGAAAAUACCACGGUGGAUCAGAGGGGAGCAGACAGUCGACAAUCGUACAACCCCUGAUUAUGAACCUAAAUGCCCAGGAGACCAUCACACCAACCACUGUGAGUGUAACUGUGGCAGCUUCCAUGUUUAUUUCCCAGCCCAAACAACCAAUGGUCUAUGGCGAUCCCUAUCAAAAUAGAGUAGAUUUAGGUCAGGGUAUGGGUUCGGCUGUGUGUUUUUCCCAGAACAAACCCCCUCUAUCACCUCCAAUGGACCCAUCAAUACCAAAAAUUGAUGCAAAACUUGAAGACCUGAGUAUUCAACAGAAAGAACUACAAAAACAGCAAGAGAAGUUGCAAAUGCAGCAAGAGCUUCUCGAGCAGCAGUUACAGCAACAUCACCAUAUACAACAACAACAGCAACAGGCAUCUGUUUUAGCCCGGUAUAACCUUUCUGGCCAGAUCUCACCCUUGCUGAAAAAAGACUUGCUGGUCAGCCAAACCAGCACUGCCUCCACUGUUGUCAGUGCUGUAUCACCUGUCCUCAACCCCGAGAUGUAUGGCACCGGGCCCAUUGAGCUGAAAGGAAAGCCCAGUCCUCCUGGCAUGAUUACAGGCGGGAAAUCGCCACAUAGUAUGGUAGUACAGAUAGAUGGUGGGCAAGAGCAAGUCAGGGCAGUGACCCAACUUAUAAAAGUAGAGGAAGGACAGGAUGCUGCAGAUCUGUCAGGAGGCCAGAUUAAACCUGACAACCAACCAGCUUGCUGCGAUGUUGUUUACAGACUGCCCUUUGGUGGAAGCUGUGUUGGUGGUUCAGAGAAAGAGGGCAUAAGGCCUCCUUCCGCUCCACCUCUGUCCUAUGAUUCUGAUCAAGAAAGACAUCCUGGAAAAUAUCGUGAGUAUCCAAUGGAAGGACACAAGUCCUACACAUUGCCUUAUCCUGGUAGGCUUCAACCUUCAAUGUCUGAUACAAACCUGGCUGAGGCAGGGCUACAAUCCUACCAUUCGAAACUAGAACCACAUCUUCAAGCCAAAGGAGAACUUGCAAUGGAUCUAAACGCUGUAAAACAUGGCUAUGGGGGAUAUAUUGGGAUGCAGUAUGGCUCAUACACAGAUUUGCGUCAUGGAGGAGAACUCCCUGCCCAAACAUUGCCUAUACGUCGAUACAAUUCCUUGUCGAACAUCAAUUCCGACUAUGGCUACUCUCCUCGUGACAUUGCCAAUUUCCAGGAAGCUAAUUUAGCCCAGUACAGCGCCACAACUGCCAGAGAGAUCAGCCGAAUGUGUGCCGCACUCAAUUCGAUGGAUCGCUAUGGAAGCAACCCAGACUUGAUGCAGUUUGCGAGUUUGGGCAGAGGAACCAGCCCCGCAACUUCAAGACUAUCAGCUGGCCUUGGCUUGAGACAAAAUCUGCUUUUUGGAUUAGAUGGGAAGCCAUUAUCCCACAACCAAGCACUUACAAACCUCAUCAAUGCCAGACAGGCCAGUCUUAGGGCCAUGUACCCUGCAGCCAUUCGCUCCUCAGAUGGGAUGAUCUACUCCACCAUUCAGACACCCAUUGCUUCUACCUUACCUAUCACAACUCAACCCGCUUCUGUUCUUCGACCGUUAUUGAGAGGUGUUUACAGGCCUUACUCAUCUCCCAACAUGACACCCGUGCCCCUAUCUAGUCUCACCAGAUUACCAAUGACUCCCAGAAUGUCUGGACAGGCCCCAAUCCGUUACCUUGGACCGGGUCUUCUCCAAACAACGUCAAUCUCUGCUACCAUUGCUGAUGCAAUAACAACCUUAGCACCAACGAGUGCCCAGGUAUCCGUUCCCUUGACAGUUCCACCAUCUACAGUCCAAGAUGAACCAGUUUACCUUGGUAAAGGGGCUGUUGUAACCACUUCAUCUGUAGAGGUCACAUCAGCUGACGCACAGCAUCAACCGAUAAACAUGUCCCAAGCGCACUUGAACAGUCAACAGCAACAACAACAGGCACAAGCAACAACAGGUCAAUGUUACACAACAGUCGCCCCUCCAGAUUCCUCGACCAUUUUACCAGUAGCGGGGACUCUACCUCCUUUCCCCCCACCUGGUGCUGUACACAAAGAGGGUGAAACUGAGGCAGAAAGGCUGCAUCGGCAGCAGGAGCAGCUUCUGCAGAUGGAAAGGGAGCGCGUAGAGCUGGAGAAAAUCCGGCAACUGCGCCUGCAGGAAGAGCUGGAGCGAGAAAGGAUUGAGCUGAAGCUGCACAGAGAGAAGGAGCAUAUUCUGGUGCAGAGAGAAUUACAGGAGCUGCAGAACAUCAAGGAACAGAACAAGCAGUUGAAACUCUUUCAAGUUAACUCUGUUAAACAGGUUCUACAACAGCAGCAACAAGAACGGGAGAAACAGCUUGUUGUCCAGAGGGAGCAGCUCGCCCAGCAGAAGUCCCAGCUUGACCAAAUCCAGUCCUUGCAGCAACAGCUCCAGCAGCAGCUUGUAGAACAGAAGCGACAGAAAACAGCCGCCGCGGUCCAGAACUUGCAGAUGGAUAUGAAUGGACAGCCUCUACACCCUUAUACUGACCAUCAAAUCGGAUCCCGCUCCCUCCCCAACUCCUCCUCAGAGAUGUGUCUGAGGAGUCAUGAGGAGCAUGUGGAGAACCAGAGCAACAUGAGGAAGCACAACUCCAUGACCAGGCUGAGCAGAGACAGCUUGGACGGAGAAGGCGUGGUCUUCCACGUUUCCCCUCGCAGGAAUGUGGACAGUUGUGUGCAGACAGAUGAUGAAGAUGGGGAGGAGAGGUACAUGAUGCGUCAUCGAACCAGGCGGCGUGGUCGCAGCGUGGACUGCUCAGUUCAGACAGAUGAUGAUGACGACAAGGCUGAAACAGGGCAGCCCGUCCGCCGCCGACGCUCUCGUUACUCACGACAUUCCGAAUCCAGCGCUACUGGCAGCGGAACUGCUACAAGCACGGCUCCUACUGACACGAAAACCAGCACCUCCAAAACGGUAUCCUCCAGCAUAGCCAUCCAAACCAGCAGGGAAAUGUCCUGCCAAACCGAAGUGGAGCACCUCGGAAGAGUUUCGCCCGCAAUCCAUGUGACGUUACCAGAUCCAAAUAAAGUAGAAAUCGUGCACUACAUCUCAGGACCUGAACGGACAAAAAAGGGACAGUCGCUAGCAUGCCAGACUGACCCAGAAGCCCAGUCACAAGGUGUUGUCGCUCCCCAGCUGAGCAUACCAACCACGGUGAACCCGUAUUCUUCCUCCACCAGCAGCGGAACUCAACAAUCUGGUUCCACUGACAUAUCGACACAGCAGCGCCAGCAGCAGCAGCAUAUCACAGCAAAUGCAGCCAAGUUUGAGCGCCGACGCCCUGACCCGCUCGACAUUAACUACCAGCCCAACAACCACCUGCACAAUGAGUCCAUCUCGAGCAUCAUCCGGCAGCAGCAGACAGUCCCAAAAUCCCCACAGGUCCUCUACUCACCUGUCUCGCCAGUGUCACCUCAUCGCCUGUUGGAGAAUUCACUAUCAAGUGAGAGGCUGAACAAGGCCCAUGUCACACCUCAGCAGAAAGCAUACACUGCAGAGUCCCCCCAGCGACAUCCCUCAAUGCCCAGACCAAUCAAGACCGCCCAAAGAUCUAUGUCAGACCCCAAAUCUCUUAGUCCUACUACCGAUGAGCACACGAAAGCUAGGCUGUCCCUCUAUCAACAACAAGCCCUCCAGAACCAGCUGGCAGCCCUUCAUCAGAGCUCGCUGCUCCGUAAGGUCAAGAGAACCCUGCCCAGCCCUCCUCCAGAAGAGACGACUGCAUCAGUUCAUCUGCCUCUGAUGACACCUGCCCUCCAACAAGUCUACUUGCCAUCCGUGCCCAGCCUCAAGCCCAGCUCUAGGUCUGGCCUAGCUGCCAAAGCCAGCCUUCUCAAAGACCUCACCCAUGAGCUGAAGGCAGUGGAGCAAGAAUCGACAAAGCUGAGAAAGCAGCAAGCUGAACUGGAGGAGGAGGAGAAGGAGAUUGAUGCUAAGCUGAGAUACCUUGAACUAGGGAUCCACCAAAGGAAAGAAACGUUGGUCAAGGAGAGAGAGAGGAGGGAUAUUGCUUAUCUGAGAUGUAUGGGUGAUGCUCGGGACUAUAUGUCUGAUAGCGAGUUGAACAACCUACGACUGGCAGCUGCAGCUGCAUCGCAUGAGACCAAUGGACUGUUGACAACAAGACCAAGUACUGCUCCCCUCAGCCAGUUUAGCAAUGAUCUGAACACAGCAGCUCAAUACACGCCAACAUCAUCUUUCCAUUCUCAAUACCCCCAGAGCCAACCCGCAGCACCAACUCAAUCAAGUUUACCCUUCCAGUCCUCAACAUUCAACCAGGCUCCUUAUCCAACAGUGUCCCAGUCCCAGGCCUUACCACAGCCAGCACCCCUCCAGAGUCAUGUUCACCCCUCGGGACCAUCCUACCAAACUCAAACCUCAUACUCUACCCACAGCUACCCCCAAACUCAACCCCCGUACCCUCAAACAGACAUAGGGUUGCCAAGUGCACCGCAACCGCAGCCCCAACCAGGGCACACAGGUUUUGGGCCCGCACCACCUGGUCAGCCCCCAUACCCCACACACAGCUCACCUUAUCCGAGUGCUGUGUCCUCUUACCCCAGCCAGAAUGCCCCUUACCCUGGGCAACCUCAAACAGAUAUUUUGACAGUACAUCAAGGAAGACCCAGGCAAACGUCACUGGCUGAUCUGGAGCACAAGAUGCCCACCAAUUACGAGACAAUCAGCAACCCUACAGUCGUGGUUACCACCACGGCGCAGGAGAGCAACUAUUCCAGUUCAGCCGCCUCAUUUGGUCAAUACACUGGAACAACAACCAUGGCCAACUAUGGACCCUAUGGCUCAGCGACCGUAUCCAGUAGUUACGGUGGGUUUUCUACCAUUCCACCCAGCACUUAUGGACAGUAUACAUCAACAACAGUUAGUUCGUAUGGCCAGUACACCACAACCACUGCUAAUGCAUAUGGCUACACAGCAACAACAGCCAGCUCAUAUGGACAGUACACGUCAACGGUUUCCAAUGCCUAUGGCCAUGGUGUGGAUAGUCCCUCCACCUACAGUACAGCAGAUGGCAUGUACGGGGCACCAGGUUUAGAACAAAAUAUCCCAAGGAACUACAUGAUGAUAGAUGACGUAAGUGAGCUGACGGCAAAAAACGGGCUGGGCACGACAACAGGGGACAUGAUGCAUCACGGCGGCACGGGGCGUUACCCUGGCGACACCCAUGGUCACAGCGGCACCAUUGGCAGCACGACGCGUGGGGGAACUGGCAGCGCCAUGUACGGCAGGGCACCCGAGGAGGAGGCAGCGAUGCAGGAAGAAUUGUACGACCACCAUGGCAGGGGUAAGAGCAGCUACAGGCACGGACCUCUAGGGGGCAGCAGCAGCGUGAGCACUAGCAUGGGUGGGGGAUCGCCCUAUUACUAUGACUACGACUACAAACAUGGCAGCUUUCGAUCUGGGGUGCAGAAAUCGUCGUCCCCCAGAAGCCUUUUGGCUCCUGCUGUCAUGUCCACCAAACGCAGCAAGCACAGGAAACUGGGCAGCAUGGAGCAGAAAAUCUCCAAAUUCUCCCCCAUUGAGGAGGCUCGGGAUGUCGAGGCAGACCUGGCCGCCUAUUCUUCAGCAGCUAGUGGGAGUUACUCCUCCCACAUCCGAGGACGGCAGUUGAUAGAGGACUACGGCUUCAAGAGGAGCACUUACGACAGUGGCAGUGGCAUCACCCAUGGUAGUCGAUACUUUGGCUCAAUGGGAGAGGAGGACGACAGGAUUUACUACACUUCCACUGGCCGUUCCCGCUCCACCGGCUACGGCAUGGACAAGAUCACUGCCAGAGACUACUCUGGGUACCGCAGCAGAUCCUAUGAGAGGGAUGACCGAUCCUACCGAUCUGGCUAUAGUCGAGGGCGCCACCCAACCAGGCAGUACUCUGAAGAGGAGAGCCCGCUCAGUCCCCUGGGGAGAUUCAUGGGCUCCGGGCGAUCAUCAAGCUUAGGUCCCGACCCAUAUGACAGCCGCAGCACUAGAUACCAUUACUAUUAUGGCCAGUAUGGUUCCAGUCACUCUUUGCCAGAUGUGCAAGACCACAUACGGGACCUACCCCGGACCCAUGUCUACAAGUCGGAUGAUACAUACAUAAUAGACGAUUAUCAUUGUGCUGUGUCAGACAGCGAAGCCUACCAUCUGGGCCAGGAAGAGACAGACUGGUUUGAGAAGCCACGUUCCAGUUCUCGACAUUACGGCAGCAGCCACGCAUCGGGAAGGAGUCGUCAUGGUGUCAAACACACCUAUCACGACUAUGAUGAGCCGCCUGAGGAGGACCUGUGGCCUCAGGAUGAGUACGGCCAUGGAGGACGACACUCUUCGUCCACCCGCGACCACCGACAUCAUGGCAGCUCAAGUCGGCACUCAUCCUCUUCACGUCAUUCAGAUGAACCAAGAUCUUCUCGGUCAUCUAAGGGACACCCAAAAGACCCGUCCGUGCGGCACGAUCCUUCAGGGCGGUCUUCAUCAUCAGGAAGACGUGGUGAUUCUAGGUCGGGAGCCUACCACUCGUCGGACUACUCUCGGGAUCCGUCCGGCCACCAUCACAGUCAGAGAUCUUCUAGGCAAGGGGAUCCGCAUCGCUCAUCACGCAGCAAGUCUCAACAACAAGUCGACAUGCAAGGCCAGCCAACAGGUACUUCCAGGUCUGGCUCUUCUUCAAGGGGACAGGGCCCUACAGGUGGUCCUACAGGAUCCGGGCGACAGGUUGGUCAGGUUUCCCAAAACGAUGGUGUCGCAGGACAGAGGACGCAGCUCCAACAGCAAGCCCAGACUUCAACGGCAAGGCCGGGGCACCAAGGGCCCCCAACAACCACCGGUGCUCAGCCACAGCCCCCAGCCCAAGGACAAAGCAUGGGGGUGGGGCAGGGCCAGGCCAAACCCGGGCAAAUAGGAGCAGCGGGUGGAGCUAUGGGACAAGCCAGGCAGACAGGUCCCACGGGAACAACAACUGCCCCCAUGAUUGAGACACCUCCAGUGACGGCCAUCGGGGCAAAGGCGGCCCCCGUCAUGGCCUCAAAAGGAGCUCAACCGCCACUCACGGGCAUAGGUUCCAAAGCUGCUCCAAGACCCGGAGGCAUAGGCAGUGCGGCAGCGGGGCAGCCGGGUAUGGAGGGAGACAGCAUGUUGUCCAAAAUUCUGCCAGGAGGAGCUGCCGAGCAGGCUGGCAAACUCGGAGAAGCUAUAUCCGGCUUUGGCAAGAAGUUCACCUCUUUCUUCUAAAGUGCUAAAUAUAAGGACUAUGUAAAAUCUCAAAGCCAUGAGACCUCGUACCAGACAAACCUGCAACAACAUUCCUCUUGUUUUUCAUUCCAUGAGAGAGAGAAAGAGAAGGAGCGAGCAAAGUGCAGCCUCAAGCAUGCAAAUCAUUCCAGGGGUCGAAUCUUCAAUCCAAAAGGUCACCGUGACUCAUGUACAACCAGUCAAUCAUGUGGAUCCGGCGCAUCCGCAAGCAUGACUGGGAAAAGAUGAAUGAUGCAACGUAUGCAGACGACUUCAUCGUGUGCCACUGGGGGGACUUUGGCAUGCUUGGUUCUCAUCCAACAAAGCAGUUUCGCUCCUCUUCCUCUUCCUCUCAUCUGAAGAAUUAGGAAGAAAAAGGGACGUCGAAAAAAGUGCAGCGCAGGUUUUUCUGGUACCGACCACCUCUUUGUUUCUUCACGUGCCCAGUUCAGAGAAACGCAUCAAUGACGAAUGUCAACGGCGACGUUCUCUUUCGAUCUACAUUCCAGAUUAUGACUCCUCUUCCGCGCUUCGUCCAAUUCUGUUUUGUAAUCCCCAACCCCCCUCUAUUCUCCUCAAUUUGUCUUUCAAGAAGUGUAUAGUGGAGGGGGCGAGAGGGAGAAUUUGGAAUGCAUGGAACUUUAUAUCCAAGACCUUUACACUGUUGGUCAUCAUUGAACGGAGGCCAUAAAGACACUGGCAAAAUGCAUCCGAGCUCAACUACACAAACAGGAACGAAAUGGAAAUGAUGGGAUACUUUAAAAAAAAAAAAAAUGCAAAAAUUUGUAUUCAGAGGGAAGCCGCUUGGUUUUCAGCCAGUACGACAUUUUCUGUCGGUGUUGUUCUACGUUUCCCAUGUUUGCGUUGUUAUUUUGUUCCGUUGCCAGCACAGCCUUAAUUAUUUAUUUAUACGUUAUUUUCACGUGAAAGCGGACUAUUUUUUUAGGACAUCCAAGAACACACGUCAUUUUCGUAUUUCUGUCCGCUAGCAAUGGGAUUCAUUUCUAUUUUUGUAAUCAUCGCCUUUUUUUUCUAUUUGUGUCACUUUGGUUGCCAAGCUCCUUUGAUUUUUUUUUUUUUUUUUUCCUGUUCACAGUCGUGGAAUUCUGAACGAGAGCAAAGCAAUAGAAUUAAGGGAGCCGAGAUGGUCAAGAGCACAACGGUGUGUCAUUUGAAAAAGUAGAAACGUGUUGCCUCUAAAUUAUCAGUGAUUUGGCGCUCAGCAAUCAGCAUAUGAGGAAACUUAACACCCCCCUCCCCGGCCCCCAUCCCUUAACCUCAACCUCUCAAUGGUGUCCUCCGGUUGUGGCUCACUAAUACGGUCUAACAACCUGCUACCAAUCACGGUGGGACAUCUCUAGCCACGAGUCAUCAAUAUGGCCAAGAGCACCGCAGGCCAACAGAGAAGCAUUGAAGAAGUAGACACCAGACUUGGCAUCCUGCGAUGGCUUUCGGGGUCACUAUGGACCAACCUUGCCCCGCACUGCCACUUCCUCCCGAGUUCAGACCUCGCACUUGAUCAGCAUGUGUCUUCACUCAAGUCGAAUGUGCACGGCGCACAUGAAAGCACAUUUGAAAAUAGUGUCAAAAGAGGGGGGGAAAAAAGGAACCAAAAAUCGCUUUUUUUUUUUCUAUCACACCCUGACCUACAACCUAUCUCAGUUGUUAUGGAAACUACUCAGGUCAGUACCCUCCCUCCUGCUGGUGAUGCUCCUGCAGUGCAUUGUGGGAUCUGUGCUUUGCUUGUACGCCACACGACAGCAACAACAAACGUACUGUUGAGGCCAAACGUGAUGAGCAGAAAUCGAAACUUGUGUUGUAUAUUGUCCGCGUGAAUGCUCGCCGGGGACCUUCGCAUGCUGCCCGGCGUUGAUACAAAAUAGCCACAAAAAAAAAAAAAGACAAAUCUCAAAGUCACCUCUAUAUUGUUCUGUUCCUAAAAUUUGUAUGUAUGUGCGUGAGUGUGGCAGUUCUGUUCGUAUAUGUCCGCCGAUGAGGAACAUAAAAAGAAAAACUGUUCACUCGCCACAGGUAUGGUACGGGGCUAAAAAGAAAGGCGACCUUUCAUCUCCAAUCGUUCUAUGCAAUAAAUCCCAUUUGGUAACUGUACAAAUAGAAGUGAGAAUAGUAGGGGAAUACAAAUAAAACAAAACACCAUUGUCGCCAAACGCUCGGGUUUUGCCACUGUCAUUGAAUAAUAGUAAAGAUGUUUAUUUCAUUGACAGUGUGAUCAGCUAGGCUGAGUUUUGUGGUAUUUAAGGGAGCUCUUAACCCUCAUAAUCUUUUUUUGGGGGGUGGCGGGCGUCAAUUUAACCCCAUGCAACGUUUAAUUACGUUGAAGUUUCUCAUUCAUUGUAAUAGUUUCACUUAUGAAUUUAUUUUUUUUUUCCAAACUAAUCUUUUAUUUGGAGGGAGGGGUUCUCCUGUAAGAUAUAUUUAAGAUAUAUUGUAUGGGUAAAAAUUCAAGUGCUCUGUGAUUAAAUUGGCCCCGAGAAUACAAAACGUUUGUGAAGUUAAAUGUAACAGGAGAGUUCAAAUAAGUGAGGAGAAAAAAAUGAGAGCGAGAUAAGCAGAACACAUGCCCCCAGGCAUUAGCAGCAGAUCCCCGAUGUCACUCGUUACUGGUGACGUUGCUUUCAGUCUUGGUUAACUUGGCUGAGAUAUGUUUUCCAGAACAGGUAGCUUGUUGGGUUGAAGUAGGAAGAACAAAAAAGAGAAGCAAGAAAGGCAAAGCUGACAGCAGAACACGCAGUCAUCAGCAGAAACGUUGAGAGGUGUUCUCCAGAGAUGCAUCAAGAAAUUCAUAUAUAUUGAGAGAGAUUCUAUACAGAUGUCCGUUUAUUCCCAAAUGCGCUACGUCAUCCACGGCUGCUCAUACGGUGAAAAAAAAGGUUCGUCGCAUUUUGCUUCUUUUCUGAUGACAAAAGAAAUAAACUACGCGAGGGGUACAAAUAAUCGGAUCAAAGGAAGAGCAGAGGGGUUUUCCAUGAUUUAAAAGCAACGAUUACAUUCACCCUCUUGUUACGUUGUUUCUCGGGAGCAGUGACAAUGUUCCUUAAUAAUCCUAAUAAACAUUGUUUGGUAUCGAGUUAAAUGAACUCAACUGGCAAUUUUGUACAGUACAUGUUUUCACCGACCAAAACAUGUUAACUUCACAAUGUGUCACUUGGAGCGGUGACGUAACAGGAGUUUGAAAUGUAUACUGUCGAGAACGUGAGGGGGGGCAAGGGAAAGACGAGACAAUUGCUAUUUUUCUUUAGAGUAAAAAUACGUCAUUUUAAAGAAGUCUAUAUUUUGUGAAAUAUGAAGGAGGAUUAUUUAUUUCAGAAUUUAUUUUACGGUAAUGGAAGGGGACGUUGGACGGUUGGGAGGUUUCAGAAAGGAGGACGUCGAAGCCUAAUGUUCAAAAACAAUGUGACAGUGUUGAAAGUAUUAUUUCAUAUCGAGCUGGGUGGAGGCAAAACUUUCAAUGUUCAAAUUGCAGCGUGAGAAUCGUGGUUAUACUGACUCCGUUCAGUUUUGUCGUAUCAAAAGUCGUCAUAUUGACUCACCUUCUCAACAGGAUCGUCUCGUGGCUUCUAAAGAAUCAAUCGUUCCUAACUUUGCCAGCGUUGAGACUUCACGUUUGCUUGUCACAAAUCAGCCACUCAAGGUGACUUAAAUAUGCAUUGCAGCAAGGGCUUUUAUUCUUAACAGUGUAAUACUAGUCAUCGAAGAAAGCCAUUGAAGCAGUUGUGCUCUCUAUCUGCACUCUGUAGGUGUCUUGUCUAAUUCUAGGAACGUAAUAUAACUCAACUUGAGAAUGAAAAUCGCCAGUCCGCGGCAUGUUUGAAGCACAAAAGUAGACAACAAUAACACGUAUUUUGCGGAUGAUUCACAUUUUUGACAUUCAAUUUCCUUUGGACAUGAAAAGGAUCCAAAAAUCUCCCAAGAUCAGGUCAACUCUGCUUUAUGCGCAAAAUAGAACAGAAGACGGUUUGGAGUGUUUAUUACACUUUGAAGUCGUGAGCUGUCACUAACACCUUCUUUCUUUCAUUUUUAAUACUGUCUCUGGGUAGCCUCAGCAAUAACUGACCAGUUUUGUUUAAAAUGCAUUUUUAAAAUGAAGUUUACAUUAUUCAAUUUUUUUUAAAUAACAUUUGUUUUCAUGAUUUUACAGCUACGAAAAAGACCCAAGGUCUGCAUUUAACAAUGUUUACCGAUAUGUUUGCAGCCGUGAAAA
RNA transcript from Hippocampus comes (tiger tail seahorse), 18029 nucleotides. It is a transcript of the gene named bassoon presynaptic cytomatrix protein a, with no coding region annotated. The record is from RefSeq and is a predicted model, not a curated record. The transcript has 17 exons. NCBI's taxonomy places the organism in Eukaryota, Metazoa, Chordata, Actinopteri, Syngnathiformes, Syngnathidae.